GGUAUGUAGGCCGAGCUNGUGGGNAGCUGUAGACUUGUUUACGGGACAAACCCCCCCCCAGCCC
RNAcentral lists this transfer RNA (64 nucleotides) under Cyrtodactylus phuquocensis. RNAcentral's name for it is "tRNA-Tyr". The record is from RNAcentral. Lineage: Eukaryota; Metazoa; Chordata; Lepidosauria; Squamata; Gekkonidae.